Physeter macrocephalus (sperm whale) is the source of this 606-nucleotide long non-coding RNA. RefSeq lists it as uncharacterized. The record is from RefSeq and is a predicted model, not a curated record. NCBI's taxonomy places the organism in Eukaryota, Metazoa, Chordata, Mammalia, Artiodactyla, Physeteridae. The transcript has 4 exons.
UGAAGAGGCCAAACAAGGAGUACACCCAGAAGCGCUCCUCAACGUGUCGUUGGUUUCAGCAGCAGUAGUAGCCAAAGCACUGCGUUCACAGUCAGGAGACCUCGGCUCUGGCUACUCACCUUGGCAAGUCACUUACCUGUUAGGCAGGAAACGGUGAAGUGCGCUCCGAGGUGUCAACUUGAAAACACCCACACAUCCCACCCAGAUGCUGAACAGCGGUGGAUUCCUUCCCCUCAGAGACUGCGGUUGAAGAAGCUAUGGACCCUUGUGAUUACAUCAGACCCAGUUGGAUCAUCCAGGAUAAUCUCUCCAUCUCAAAAUCUUUAAUUUAGUCACAUCUGCAAAGUCCCUUUGGAUAUAAGGGGACACGGGUUCCAGCCCUGGUCCGGGAAGAUCCCACAUACCGCGGAAAAACUAAGCCAGUGCGCCACAACUACUGAGCCUGCGCUCUAGAGCCCCCGAGCCACAACUACUGAAGCCCACGUGCCUAGAGCCCGUGCUGCGCAACAAGAGAAGCCACUGCAAUGAGAAGCCCAUGCACUGCAGGGAAGAGUAGCCCCAGCUCACCGCAACUAGAGAAAGCCUGUGCGCAGCAACGAAGACCCA